AUGUUCAAGCUCGACAUCAAAAAUGCCUUCGACUCGGUUCGUUGGGAUUACCUCAUGGAUUUGUUGCGUCACCAUCAUUUCCCAAGUCGUUUCUGUGAUUGGAUUUCUGCACUACUUUCCACGGCCUCAUCCAGAGUGUUUCUCAAUGGUAUUGCGGGCGACCCUAUGAAGCAUGGCCGUGGACUUCGGUAGGGGGAUCCUCUAUCCCCCCUACUCUUUGUCCUUGCCAUUGACCCCCUCCACCGCAUGCUCUCUAAGGCCACCGAGCAAGGCAACCUUCACCCGUUGCAUGGAAAUCCGAUUCGGGCAUCCCUGUAUGCCAAUGAUGCAGCCAUCUUUGUUGCACCAAUCAAGGUGGACAUCCAGUUCCUUGCCUUGACGCCGAGCUCCUUUGGUGAGGUCACCGGCCUUGUCACCAACUGCAACAAAAGUUUGGUUGUGCCCAUUCGUUGUGCCAACCUCGACCUUGAUGACAUUCUUCAGGCCUUCCCUGCUGUCCGGACCUCUUUUCCUUUGCGGUAA
RNAcentral lists this ribosomal RNA (522 nucleotides) under Triticum aestivum (bread wheat). RNAcentral's name for it is "partial small subunit ribosomal RNA". Lineage: Eukaryota; Viridiplantae; Streptophyta; Magnoliopsida; Poales; Poaceae. The record is from RNAcentral.